Molecule: unclassified non-coding RNA, 268 nt
Filed under: uncultured Glomus
Lineage: Eukaryota; Fungi; Glomeromycota; Glomeromycetes; Glomerales; Glomeraceae
Description: sequence contains 18S rRNA gene
Rfam family: Eukaryotic small subunit ribosomal RNA
Source: RNAcentral
AGCAGCCGCGGUAAUUCCAGCUCCAAUAGCGUAUAUUAAAGUUGUUUGCAGUUAAAAGCUCGUAGUUGAAUUUCGGGGUCAGUAGGUUGGUCAUGCCGCUGGUAUGUACUGAUCUUACUGAUUCCUCCUUCCUGAUGAACCGUAAUGCCAUUAAUUUGGUGUUGCGGGGAAACUGGACUGUUUACUUUAGAAAAAUUAGAGUGUUUAAAGCAGGCUAACGCUUGAAUACAUUAGCAUGGAAUAAUGAAAUAGGACGUUCGAUCCUAUU